UCCGAGUUGUCCCCGGCAGUCCUCUUAGAGUCCCCGGCAUGAUCCGCUGGCAACAUAGGAUAAGGGUUGCGCUCGUUGCGGGACUUAACCCAACAUCUCACGACACGAGCUGACGACAGCCAUGCACCACCUGUGCACAGGCCCCGAAGGGCUGCCGUGUUUCCACGACAUUCCUGUGCAUGUCAAGCCUUGGUAAGGUUCUUCGCGUCGCGUCGAAUUAAUCCACAUGCUCCGCUGCUUGUGCGGGUCCCCGUCAAUUCCUUUGAGUUUUAGCCUUGCGGCCGUACUCCCCAGGCGGAGUGCUUAAUGCGUUAGCUGCGGCACAGAGAGGGUUGAAGACCUCCCCACACCUAGCACUCAACGUUUACGGCUGGGACUAC
This 380-nucleotide unclassified non-coding RNA is filed under the name uncultured Actinomycetes bacterium. RNAcentral's name for it is "uncultured actinobacterium contains 16S-23S intergenic spacer region". Lineage: Bacteria; Bacillati; Actinomycetota; Actinomycetes. The record is from RNAcentral.